Molecule: long non-coding RNA, 366 nt
Filed under: Fukomys damarensis (Damara mole-rat)
Lineage: Eukaryota; Metazoa; Chordata; Mammalia; Rodentia; Bathyergidae
Description: lncRNA (ENSFDAG00000032363.1)
Source: RNAcentral
AGCAAAGUCAGGCUAAGGAAGGAAAAGGUGCACUGAGUACGCAGCACUCGCCCAGCCGGCUCCUUAAAAGGGCAGCCUGCAAGAAAGGUGUUUGGCUCCUCGUCGAGCGUCAUUCUGCUGAGGCUCAGAGAGGUUGCUCUGCCGGCCUAAGACCACCAGCCAGGAAGCUGGAGAGCCAGGAUUGCAAUCCAGAGCUGCCUGCGCCAUAGUCCGUGCUCUGCUGCCCGUGGAAGAGGCUCGCGGGACUCCAGUCUGGCGGCGGGGUGUGACCCCGGCCUCCCUGAUUACCUGCAAGGCUCCGGAUGCCUGGAAUCCGCUGCAGCCCAGUGAGGAAGAUAAGGCUGUACGGAGGUGAGACGAGACCCC